GUAGGUGGCAAGCGUUGUCCGGAAUUAUUGGGCGUAAAGCGCGCGCAGGCGGUCCUUUAAGUCUGAUGUGAAAGCCCACGGCUCAACCGUGGAGGGUCAUUGGAAACUGGGGGACUUGAGUACAGAAGAGGAAAGCGGAAUUCCAAGUGUAGCGGUGAAAUGCGUAGAGAUUUGGAGGAACACCAGUGGCGAAGGCGGCUUUCUGGUCUGUAACUGACGCUGAGGCGCGAAAGCGUGGGGAGCAAACAGGGAUUAGAUACCCUGGUAGUCCACGCCGUAAACGAUGAGUGCUAAGUGUUAGGGGGGUUUCCGCCCCCGUUAGUGCUGCAGCUAACGCAUUAAGCACUCCGCCUGGGGAGUACGGCCGCAAGGCUG
This 375-nucleotide ribosomal RNA is filed under the name uncultured organism. Its description in RNAcentral is "partial 16S ribosomal RNA". It matches the Rfam family "Bacterial small subunit ribosomal RNA", at positions 527 to 896 of the family's 1533-position model. The record is from RNAcentral.